RNAcentral lists this ribosomal RNA (486 nucleotides) under uncultured bacterium. Its description in RNAcentral is "partial 16S ribosomal RNA". It matches the Rfam family "Bacterial small subunit ribosomal RNA", at positions 30 to 507 of the family's 1533-position model. The record is from RNAcentral.
AUUGAACGCUGGCGGCAUGCCUUACACAUGCAAGUCGAACGGCAGCACGGGUGCUUGCACCUGGUGGCGAGUGGCGAACGGGUGAGUAAUACAUCGGAACAUGUCCUGUAGUGGGGGAUAGCCCGGCGAAAGCCGGAUUAAUACCGCAUACGAUCUACGGAUGAAAGCGGGGGACCUUCGGGCCUCGCGCUAUAGGGUUGGCCGAUGGCUGAUUAGCUAGUUGGUGGGGUAAAGGCCUACCAAGGCGACGAUCAGUAGCUGGUCUGAGAGGACGACCAGCCACACUGGGACUGAGACACGGCCCAGACUCCUACGGGAGGCAGCAGUGGGGAAUUUUGGACAAUGGGCGAAAGCCUGAUCCAGCAAUGCCGCGUGUGUGAAGAAGGCCUUCGGGUUGUAAAGCACUUUUGUCCGGAAAGAAAUCCUUGGCCCUAAUACGGUCGGGGGAUGACGGUACCGGAAGUAUAAGCACCGGCUAACUACGUG